RNAcentral lists this non-coding RNA (46 nucleotides) under Marmota monax (woodchuck). It matches the Rfam family "Histone 3' UTR stem-loop". Rfam says of the family: The mRNAs of metazoan histone genes lack a poly-A tail. 3' end processing occurs at a site between a highly conserved stem-loop (modelled by this family) and a purine rich region around 20 nts downstream (the histone downstream element, or HDE). The stem-loop is bound by a 31 kDa stem-loop binding protein (SLBP - also termed the histone hairpin binding protein, or HBP). The record is from RNAcentral. Lineage: Eukaryota; Metazoa; Chordata; Mammalia; Rodentia; Sciuridae.
CCAAAGGCUCUUUUCAGAGCCACCCACACGCGCGCUUAAAAGAACU